GAUGAACGCUAGCGGCAGGCCUAAUACAUGCAAGCCGAACGGCAAGCUUUGUAGCAAUACGGAGCCUAGAGUGGCGUAAGGGUGCGUAACACGUAUGCAAUCUACCCUCAACAGGAGAAUAGCUCCCCGAAAGGGGAUUAAUGUUCCAUAGGAUCAUGGUGCGGCAUCGCACAGUGAUUAAACCGCAAGGGGUUGAGGAUGAGCAUGCGCAUGAUUAGUUAGUUGGCGGGGUAACGGCCCACCAAGACGAUGAUCAUUAGGGGAACUGAGAGGUUGAUCCCCCACACU
Molecule: ribosomal RNA, 288 nt
Filed under: uncultured bacterium
Lineage: Bacteria
Description: partial 16S ribosomal RNA
Rfam family: Bacterial small subunit ribosomal RNA
Source: RNAcentral